UUCGCAAUGCCCGAAAGGGUGACGAAGCGACGCCGCGUGGGUGAGGAAGGCCCUCGGGUUGUAAAGCCCUGUCAGGAGUUAAGAAAUGUAGGUACGCUAAUAUCGUAUCUAUUUGACAAAGGCUCCAAAGGAAGCCACGGCUAACUCUGUGCCAGCAGCCGCGGUAAUACAGAGGUGGCAAGCGUUGUUCGGAAUUAUUGGGCGUAAAGAGCACGUAGGUGGAUUUGUAAGUCAGAUGUGAAAGCCUUCUGUUCAACGGAAGAAUUGCAUCUGAAACUACAAACCUUGAGUAUAGGAGGGGAGAAUGGAACUUCUGGUGGAGCGGUGAAAUGCGUAGAUAUCAGAAGGAACGCCGGCGGCGAAAGCGAUUCUCUGGCCUAUUACUGACACUCAGUGUGCGAAAGCUAGGGGAGCAAACGGGAUUAGAUACCCCGGUAGUCCUAGCCGUAAACGAUGGGCACUAAGUAGA
RNAcentral lists this ribosomal RNA (469 nucleotides) under uncultured anaerobic ammonium-oxidizing bacterium. RNAcentral's name for it is "bacterial SSU rRNA". It matches the Rfam family "Bacterial small subunit ribosomal RNA", at positions 365 to 824 of the family's 1533-position model. The record is from RNAcentral.